RNAcentral lists this ribosomal RNA (331 nucleotides) under uncultured bacterium. Its description in RNAcentral is "bacterial SSU rRNA". It matches the Rfam family "Bacterial small subunit ribosomal RNA", at positions 568 to 898 of the family's 1533-position model. The record is from RNAcentral.
CGUGUAGGCGGUUGGGCAAGUCAGAUGUGAAAGCCUUCCGCUCAACGGAAGAAGGGCACUUGAAACUACCCGGCUGGAGUACGGGAGAGGAGAGUGGAAUUCCCGGUGUAGAGGUGAAAUUCGUAGAUAUCGGGAGGAACACCAGUGGCGAAGGCGGCUCUCUGGUCCGAUACUGACGCUGAGACGCGAAAGCGUGGGGAGCAAACAGGAUUAGAUACCCUGGUAGUCCACGCCGUAAACGAUGGGCACUAGGUGUAGGAGGUAUUGACCCCUUCUGUGCCGAAGCUAACGCAUUAAGUGCCCCGCUGGGGAGUACGGCCGCAAGGCUAAA